Molecule: small RNA, 410 nt
Filed under: Pan troglodytes (chimpanzee)
Lineage: Eukaryota; Metazoa; Chordata; Mammalia; Primates; Hominidae
Description: sense intronic
Source: RNAcentral
ACAAAUUUGGAGAUGGAGUUCUCACUGAAAUAAUCCACCCUCAAAUGACCUAGCUUCAGAAAGUGAUCAUCCCCACCACGUAAAUGAUGUGUAUCCCAAUCACUGAAGAUUUAAGACUUUGUGUGUACCCCAGUGACUAAAGUAUAGGUUCCUUCCUUUCACAUAGUAACAACCCAUUGCUAACUGGAUGCUAAACAUCACCCCUAAAUACUUAAUUUGCUCCUGUUAUCUGGGCCUACAAAAAGAUACUUGAAAGUGGGUAUACAGAAAAUUUCUGGAAGAACUGCUUAAGAAAGUGAUAACAAUAGUUACCUCUGGGGAAUGGGACUAGAUGACUUGAGGAUGACACACUAAUUAUUUUUGUACCAUCGGCAUUUAUUUUUAUAAUAAAAAAAUACACUGGGCUCCUA